Molecule: transfer RNA, 58 nt
Filed under: Loxodonta africana (African savanna elephant)
Lineage: Eukaryota; Metazoa; Chordata; Mammalia; Proboscidea; Elephantidae
Rfam family: tRNA
About the family: Transfer RNA (tRNA) molecules are approximately 80 nucleotides in length. Their secondary structure includes four short double-helical elements and three loops (D, anti-codon, and T loops).
Source: Rfam by way of RNAcentral
UGGCAAAGUGGUUAAAGCAUUUGACUGAUAAUCAGAAAGUUGGUGAUUUGAACCCACC